GCGCUGAUGAAGAGUCCCAAACUAGGGCGAAACAGCUGUCCAGUAC
Molecule: non-coding RNA, 46 nt
Filed under: Trichobilharzia regenti
Lineage: Eukaryota; Metazoa; Platyhelminthes; Trematoda; Strigeidida; Schistosomatidae
Source: RNAcentral